UUUUAAAUUUUUUUACCGCGUGGUGAAGAAGCAAGGAAGAAAAAUGGAGGACAUUUUUUUAUCAAACUUAAUACCUUUAUUGGAAGCUCUGUUGGAAGGUAAUAUGCUUUAUUUAAUAUCAAUCCUUGUCGUAGAGUACUUAGAUUGCCAAUAUAGAUGGAAAUUUAGGACAUCGAGCCCGAAUUUAAUGCGAUAUUUCGGCAUAAAGUUUGUGCUUUUUCUUUGCUGCCUUUGCACGUGGUGCGUUUGUCGAACUUUAAACCGUGUUUUAAUUCAUAAUUAUUGUCGACCAAUUGAGUAAAAAGACUAAAUAACAUCUAGAAUUGUUUAAGUUGUCGAAAAAAGUUGUUAUUUCUGAGUUAUUGCCAAAAAUUUUUAUAUUUAUAAUGCCAUAUAUUAAAAAGAGAGGAGGCGCUUCAAUGGUGAGACGAAUAUUUCAAUUCAUCAGCUUGUACAUGCAUUUCAAUCUUACGACAAAAUAUUUCAACGUUAUAUAAUUAUGUUGUGUUUGUUCAACAUUACAACGUAUUUGAUUCUUGCUUGCAAAGCAAAGAUAAUUAAAAAUAUUUGUGUUUCUUUACCUCACUGUCACAGCUGGUUUGAAUUUUGAUAGGUGGGGCUUUUCGGUAAGCGGGCUAGUAAGAUUAAGGCCCCGUUGAGACCGGGACGAAGUCAAACUGGAAUGAAAAUUGAAAUUGUCAACAUGUUUACAUGAGACUGGAACGAAAAUUGCAAAAUUUUCAAUUUAUUCCCCUUGCCAGGCAAUUUUCUUUUUUAGAUGGUUUUUGUUAGCAUGUGUUGUUCCAAUGUCAAGGUUACAGCCGAGACCCGUCUGAAAUGUAUUUGUGUUUACAUUCAUCCCGGUCUGAAGUCAGUCGGCUCGAUCCAGCAGGUGGAAUGACUUGAGACCUGUCUGAGUUAUUUUUGUCCAGGUGUCAUGUAAACAUCUAUUAUAAAUAAUACUAUAACCGAAACGAAAUAGUCCCGGUUUGACUUUGUUCCGGUCUCAUGUAAAUGGGGUCUUUAGAAUUUAAAGUUCGUAGGCUGAGCAUGGUUUGAAAAGUAGCAGUGUAAAGCCUUUUUUCAACAUGGGCUGGGCUGGCUGGCAAGGAUUCAGAGAGUGCUAAACAAAUAGAAAGGACAGUAUUUGUUAAAUUUAAAAGCAUAUUAACUUGAUUUACUGGUACAGCAGAUGCCUGGAGUCAAAAUGAAGUUGAAAAAAAACUUCCAAUCAAAUUCUAUCAGUUGGCAUUGUCACAACAUAAUAUAAACAUUUCAAGAAGCAAUAACUGUGGUAAACAACCCAACAUCUAGAAAAAAAACAUUAGAGCAAAGAAAAUAUGAUUUUUUCAUCCCGCUAGCCAAGCUAUUCACACCCUCAGUAAAAUUCUCAUAAAUUUUUGUAGAUGUACAAUGCAAGUUCCAAGAAUGUCACAAGAUCUCAUGAUUAUCAAAAUUUAUUGUACACAUUCCAAGAUCCUGAAUAAGAGGUAAACUAGGUUACCCACAGGGCAGUAAUGCUUCCUUUGACAGCAAAAGACAAACUACAGGGUGUUGAACGAGUCCUUCAGAAACAUCCUAUUAUUGUUUAGCCUGCAUGGCAGGCGGUUCCUAAAAUUGGGCAAGCCUGGGAAAUACCGCCUGCCAUACGGGCUAAUUAUUGUUAUCCUUGUAACCCAUUUAUUGACAGUACCCUACCACUGACUGAGUAUUAAAAAUCGUGUGGCGUUGGACAGGGUAAAUACUAAAGUAGGGGUCAUUACUGUGCUGAUGAAUUAACAAGAGCCAUUGGCAGAUAGGUUUGUUAAUCCAUUUACUGGCAGUACCCUAUACCACUGACGAGUAAAAUCUUCUGGCGCUCAACAAGGGAAGGGUGCAUUGCCAGCUAAUGGGUUAAACCACCGUGGUUAAACAUAAAAUUUCAUGAUGCUCCAGGAAAUGUAAACAAGCUAUCAGUGUGACAUCCCAGUUUAUAUAUUUAUAUACUCGGAAUAUUGAUUUCUCGGUAUAUACAAAAUUAUUUUAAAGUAUAACAACCAGCGAAGACGUAAGGCACUAACUACCCUGCGCGGCUGCGCGCAGACUAUAUAACGACAUAUAUAUGUCAUCCGUCCGGUCCGUCCGUCAUUCAUCUGUCCGUCCAUAUCCGCGUUUUAUCCUAACCCGUUUUUAAAACACAAAGUUUGCAUUUAAUUAAGGCAGUGCGGUUCGUCAUGAUCAAUAUUUUCAAAAGUGGCCAAUUAGACGAGGGGUUAAAGGGCAAAGACAAUGACAUGCAGGUGACAUUUAACAUUGCGUCUCACUAAUUAAAAUUUGCGUGUUUAAUAGUGUUUAUCAAAGCACAGUUAAUUCCUAUUUCUAUUAACUGUGAUCAAAGAAAGCAAAAAUAUAUACAAGACAAUCUCACAUGUGGAGUUUUUUCACUUACAGUACGUACUGCCUUGUGAUGCAGUACAAGUAUAAAUACAAAUGACAAAGCAUUUGUAAAUCCUAAAACAUAAUUAAAUCAUACGGCACAUUUAAGAUUUUAAUAUCGUAUUUCAGCCGCGUUUAUACUGUUUGGUGCAUUCGCUGCGUUAUAUUAAUUUACAUGUAGGCUAUAUACACAGAAAAGCAUGUCAUUGUCCUUGCAGACCAUAGGCAAAAAGCAUUUGUCAACCAUGCACAUACCAAAUUUAAGCAAUCGUUAAAUCAUAUACAUGUCAUGGAAAGAAUAUGGAAAUAAUGUUGAAUGAAAGCUAGUAUCGCGUAUUAAUAUUAAAAGCACCGCAUAUAGUGCUCGAACCACUGCGUAUAAUUGCAAAAGCAUCGUGUAUAUAAAUGGUGAAAGCACCGCGUAUAAUACUGGAACCACCGCGUAUAAUGGCGAAAGCACCGUGUAUAAUGCCAAAAGCACCGGCGUAUAAUGCUAAAAGCACCCAACACAAUGCCGUUUGAUCACUUUAAGCCAGCUAUGGCUUUCCAUAAAAGAAGACCAAAGAUGAAACAUGAUCACAUUGCCUGUUUGCCAUAUUGCCUGACCGCGCUGCACCACGGUUAAAAUUCACUGGUACCGUCAUGCAAUGCACCAAAUAGAAAAUUUUGAUUUCGACCCACAAAACAAAAUUAGGAUCUGCUGCCUUGCUCGCUCGCUUCAGGCUCGCUCGCUGCGGCAGCAAUUAUUUUUCUUCUAAUUGUUUCUAACCUUCUCCUUGUAUUUUUUUGACAAUUUUCUUUGUAAUAUAUUAAUUUGUUUCAUGUUCUUAAUGGUGAGUUUUUUUAAUUUUCUAGAUGUGUGUUGCAAUUUCAAAGAAUGUCUCAAGUUGUUGGCCGAAGUGAUUUUGAUCUCAAAAGUGAAUGCUGUCAUUGGAAAGUAUAUAUAAAAGGUCUUAAUAUUUUCCUGUCUUAUCUUGCAUGAAAUGUUUUGAACAUUAUAUGAUUGCUUGUGAUCAAUAGUUUCAAAAAAUCCCAGUAGAAUAUUGCAAAAAUAGCAUGACCAUGUUACUUUUAUGACAAAAUAACAACAAAAAUAAUAAACACAAUCUUUACGCCUAAAUAUGGCGAGUGCUCAAUAAUUGCAUUUUUUUAUUCUAUUAGUAAUUUGGAAAAUUUCUUGUGACUUGUAUUAAUUUGGAAAAUUUCAGUUUUGUGGUCCCUCGAUUACUUGAUUAAUUUUCGUGUCACUGAUCACAAAAAUUAUAUAAUUUUCAAAGCAUAUAAACAUAUGGGCAAGCCAGAAAAUGACAAACUCUCUGUGUUUUAAAAAAAAUUGUUUAAUUAAACAGUGAUGAUUUUGAGUUUAUCUGUGUUCUAUCUGAGAACAUAGUUGUUUCUACAUAUUUUCGAAGUUUUUGUCAAAUGUAACAAAAAAUGAAAAGUUUGUCAGUAUUUGGCUUUGUUACAUCAGUUAAACAUUGAGAAGAUUGAUGUGGUUUUUAUUACAAACCACUUUGGUUUCUUACAAACAAAUAAGACAUGUGACUUAGUCAUCUUUCAUGUUUUGGUAUUAAUUUGGAAUAUGUUUUAAAGGAUUAAAAGAACAUUGAUGAACAUUUGUCUCAUCAUAAUUUGUGUUUUGAACUUGUCAAAGUGCAAUUGUAAAAACAGUAAGCUUGCAUCCCAUCUCAAUCUUCUCUUGUUUAAGUGGACUUUCAGUGUUUGUUGAAAGUUUGGAAAGUUUGUCUGAAAAUCACAAUCUUUCAUUCAAUGUUGAUUCUGGAGGUUUUCAAAUAUUGAAUCUUACAAAAAGCAAUUAGUGAUCAAUUGAAGUAUACAAUACUUUUAAAAUUAGCACUGUUAGAACUGCCUUGUUGUUUAAUAGUCCUGUCUUAUUUAUCCCAGCACACUCUUAAUACAUGAGUUUGAUUAUUCCUGGAUGCAAAUAAAAUGGAUUUGUUGAAGAACAAAGCAGUUUUAUACACUACUGACUUAUGGGAGGGUUGUGUUCUUCAGUUGUUUUUUUUUCUGAUUCUAGUGCCAACCACAUUGUGGUUUUAACAAAAUUUGAAUUUUGGAACAAACUUUGUGAUUUUUAAAAAACCUUUCCCAACUUUAAAAAACAAACAGUUAAGGUCGAAAUAAUUAGCUAGGAUAUGUUGUCUUUACUUAUAAUUACAAAGUGGAACUUAUUUGGAUAUGGGUGAACUGAAGCAGCAAACUAUACUUAAUUUUGGGGUAAUGUGAGAUGGAGAAAAUAACAUUAAAGUAAUCAGCAAUGGCGGAAAAACAAUCAGCAAUGAAAAGUAUAUAUUACAGUAAUUGUUUGGUAAAGCCAUCCAAUAAUUGGAAUAUUGAGGCUGAAGAUAAGAUUGACAAUUCUUGGUCCUACAUGUAUGUGUUAAUCAAUGCAUAAUUUGAUAAGAUUUGAAUGAAAAUUCAAGCAUGGAACUAGCCAUAUUUUUAGUAUUCAUCAAAAUUUGUGUGUGUUUCAUCAAACACAAGAUAUGCAAUAGCCAAUACUGAGAUGCUCUUUAUGUACCAGAUUUUAUAAUCUGAAUAAAAAGUUCUAGAUUUAAAAAUAUUAUUUUUAUUUUAAAUAAUCUGAUUGACCUAUGAUAAAUCCUAAUUUAUUUUAAGUGUGAAAUUUUUAAGCUUGAAUUUCAUAUUUUAUUUUGAUUUUUUAAUCCGAUUCAAUUAACUAAUUUCGUACUUUGCUUUGCAUACUAACUGAGAUGACAAGAUUUUAAAUUUUUAUUGGCUGGUUGUGGUUAAUAAUUGUUUGGCAAUUAAAAUUAAUUUGUUAGUUUUCUAUAUUUAUAUGUAUUUCUUUUGCUUCAGUUCAACAUUAUUUUCAAAUAGUUCCACUUUGUAAUGGUGUGUUAUAAUAGUCAUAAUAAUAAUAUAAGCAAACAGGUUUACAUGGCACUCGAACAUGGUCUUUUCAGCGAGUAUGUAAAGGUAAGUUUAUACUUCAAAAAGGUCUGUUUUAACCUGACAAGAAUGCUGUCCAAAAUUAACUAAAAAUAUUUUUAACUUUCAAUGAAAUUUCAUAUGUUCAAUCAACAACAGCUACUACUGUAUAUGUCUUUUGAUGUUUGUGUUUGGUUUGCUCAUGUUGAUACUAGAAAUUGAUGAAAAUGCAAUAUGAUAUUUUGUUUGUUGAGAGAGAUUCUAAGGAUUGCAUGGAAACUGUUGUUCCUUGUGAGGACUUGAGCAAAACUGUUUGUCUACUUUUGAAUUAACAAAGUAUACCCAAAACUUAUUUCCUGUUUUUCAUUAUGCAAAGCCAUAAGCUCUUUUCCAAUUGAAAAUUUCUGUUUGGUUUGACCAAAAUAAAUAAAAGUGUUAAAAGAUAUUUAUGAACAUUUGAAAGCUUGGUUCAACCAUAUUUUGUGUGUUUCUGUACGUCGCUACAUGUUUUGCGUCAGAAAAAUUUCCCGAAACAUUUUUUGUAAAUGAUAUAAAUGUCAGAUGAUAUAAAACAGGACAAUUUUUUCCCUAAGUAAAAUUUAGGAGAUGUUUGUUUAUAAAAUAGUGGAUCAGUGUGUAUGAUCUUGUUGUAUUUAUCGAUAGGACGAGAAAUGUACCAGUUUAAGCAAAGCAAAUUGAAACUGAAUUUUUGUUUGAAAAAUCAAUCAGAAUUGGAGAAAUAACAUUCUUUUAAAAUUUUGUUGAACUGUAUUUUCAUCACUUGAAUUAGUAUUAACAUUAUGUAUAAUCAAUUCAAAGUUGUCAGGUUAAAAACGACGCUCAAAGAUAUAUAUGGCUCCGAAAGACCAGGAUAAUUUCAAAUUCUUAAAUAUUUCCUGAUUUGGCACUUGAAAGAAAUGUUCUUAUAUAUGUUCAAUUGAGUAUGGAACCGAUGAUCUAGUCGUAAUGUUUCGAUGUUUAAAAAUAUCAUUUCUGAGUUUAAUGAAGUAUACUGUCAGUGCAUUGACCAUUGUGGAAAUGUUAAGACACUUUGAGGAAAUUAAUUUACUAAUUCAAGCAAUAUAAUUUGUUGACAACUGAUCGCGCAUUACAACGAAUGGACUUCUCUUAGCAUCUAAACAUCGCGAUGAUUUUCAUACUCAAGUGAACAUUUUGGUCACUUUACCAAAAACAGUUGGUUGUAUUAAAAAAAAAGUAAAAGCAUGUUUGAUUGACUUUGUCUUUGAGCCAUAUAUUUUCCUUGUAAAACAACCUGGUGUGACGCUUUGGAUUUGUCCGUCAAAUUCGAAAAAAUUAUCAUUAGAGUUGUUUUACAAUAUUUAUUUUGAAGUAUAAACAUUUAUCUUGAAAAGACCAGGUUCUCUUGUUUCCUCAAGAAUUAACUUUUUAAUGUUAAUUCGCGGGCAAACAAGUUUUUAAUGUUGUGCUUAUUCACUUGUGCUUAUUCACUUGUGUUGAACACAAUGUUAAUUGUUCUCUUUGUGCCAUGUUCUGUUUUCUUCUAUUGUUAUUUGAAUAAGUGUGCAGUGGUUGUUCUCUCUUUAUUGUUAUUCAAUUUGUAAUUACAAUUCUUUUCAAUAAAUUGUUCAUUAAUUAUACAAGAGACUCCUUUUUAAUUAAAAAUUCAAUUCCCAUGGGAAUUGAAAAAAAAAAUAAAAAAAAUUCCCCCACCCCGGCCGGCUCCCCAAGUGCCACCUCUACUUCAAGCAGAAGUACUUCUACUAUAUAGUAAAAGUACUUCUACUUAAAGUAGAGGUAGCACUCGGAGAGCCAGCCGGGGUAGCGAGGCGAAGAGAAGACCAACCUUGCAAAUGCAAAAUAAUGCAAAUUGCUAAGUCGAUCUUUUCUUGAGAGCAGCCACGCACAUACCUGGCAAAUAAUGUAAAACAACAAGCAAUUAGUAACAAAUACUCGACAUGCAAAUUUUGAAUCCCAUGGCCGAAAUGACAAGUGCCCCCCACUGAUUCCUACCAACUGCCUACCUGCCUCAAUCCUAAGCUGUCUGCCUCAGUCCUAAGCUGUCUGCCUUGGUCCUAAGCUACCUGCAUUCCAUUCGUAACUUCCGCUUUCCUCACCAUCACACAGACACUCGCAACUGCCCAACCUGCCACCAGCCUGAACUGCCCACCCUUAAAACUGAAGGAAUUAAAAUUUUGGCAAAGUAUACAUAAUUAAUUUAAUUUAAUCGGAUAUUUUAGGGCAAACGUAAACAGAUAAAUUAAAAGGUUGACAAAUCAGACGAAAGACCGCGUAUACAAACAGGUGAGUUUCUUACUUGCUUUUAUAUACAUGAAUAUACGAAACCUCAAAAUCCGGAUUUUUCCUUUUAUAUGCUUUACUAGCAGGCUAUAAUUUUUGUUUAAAUAACGAAACUCAACACAUUUUGCAGAUGUUAGGAAAUUAGUCAUUUGUCAAUGUUCAGAAAAAAAUAUUUUCUCUUUAAAUAUGCUCUCAAAAUUUUAAUUCCUUUAGUUUAGCCUAACCCCAUGCAUCCUAUACACACGGCGCACACUCUCGCACUCCAUACAUUUAGUUAAUAAAUUACGUUAUAAACAAAAAAUCAAAAUAAAAAGAUAAAUUACGUUAUCACUAGCUAUCCUAUAACCCACUUAGACUGCGUUUUGGAUUCUGGUUCGAAACGUAAGAUCUUAACUGAAAGGGCAUGGGCUUGAGUUUUGUUAACUGGUCCGAAAUAAAUACAAACCUUAAACUUACCUAAACCAAAGGCUCGAUUAAAUAAGCAUGAGAAUUAUUUUUAAAACUUUUUCAUAAGAGUUUAAAAUCCAAACGAAAAUUACAAUGUCGCUAAUUUAGUGAGCAUAUAGUACUGUUUGUCUAUAUAGUUCAAACAGAUCGAACGCACUUCUCAUACUCAUUUAACCGGAACGCCUUGAUGAUCAUUUGCAUGGCACGUCGCAGCUGCUCUCAAGUAACAAGAUACUUAUCAUAUUUAAUCAAAGGGGAUUCAUUAUAAUAUUCAAAUUUCC
This is a non-coding RNA of Paramuricea clavata, 8336 nucleotides long. The record is from the annotation of a GenBank genome assembly. Lineage: Eukaryota; Metazoa; Cnidaria; Anthozoa; Malacalcyonacea; Plexauridae.